Molecule: long non-coding RNA, 896 nt
Organism: Ailuropoda melanoleuca (giant panda)
Lineage: Eukaryota; Metazoa; Chordata; Mammalia; Carnivora; Ursidae
Exons: 6
Source: RefSeq, a predicted model, not a curated record
GGUGGGCACGGGAUCCGGCUCUUCUGCGAGGUGAAAAGUCUGUUGGAGGAAUUUCUGCAGAAAGCAUUCUCUUUACCUAGAAAGGGACUCUUCUUCCCCAGUCUGAGGAUGAAGCCCACUCCAGGAAAGUGUGAGACCCUAGAUUCUUCAUGUCAUUGUCAGGCUGGCCGAAGUCCUGCAACAUACUCUGCUCUGGGCCUUCUGUUACGUGGCAUGCAAGAGAAGACCAUGAUGGAUUUGAAUGACUGUUGAAUUGGGAUUUGAAGACCUGGCCACUAAUCCCAAAUAUCUCCUUCUCCAUGUGUAAGAAACAUGAACUGACAGGAGCUGGAUGCUGCUGGUGUUUCUGGAGAGGUGGCCACUGGACAGUUACAGGUGUACAACAUAGAGUUUCUACAAUUCUGUGCAUUGCUCAGCGGUCAUCAUGGACUUCUUAGAGACUUUGGAAAUGGGCACAGUUGAAUAUUUAUGGAAAUGACAUGGCACACAAUAGCCCCUUAGCGAUGAUCAUCCCCAACGUCUGCGUGGUGGAUAAAGAUGGCCAUCAAUUCCUCACCAAGCCUCCCGUUACCAGGAUCACCCCUUGCAACUUGACCUUCACGCUGAUGAAGUCGGAGCAGCCUCAAGGAAACACCUAUGUGGAUGAAAACUUAGCCAGCCAUGGGAUUGAGGCCACUUUGGACCUUCCAGCCCAUUCAGCACCCCGACCAAUACCUCAGGAAGAGGAAGAAACUUCUAGCCAAUCAACGGAAUUGGGAGAAAUAAUAAGCUGUUGCUAUUUUAAGACACUGAAUUUUGGGGCGCCUGGGUGGCACAGCGGUUGAGCGUCUGCCUUCGGCUCAGGGCGUGAUCCCGGUGUUAUGGGAUCGAGCCCCACGUCAGGCUCCUCUGCUGUG